GAUGAAGAACGCAGCGAAAUGCGAUAAGUAAUGCGAAUUGCAGAAUUUCCGUGAGUCAUCGAAUCUUUGAACGCACAUUGCGCCCCUUGGUAUUCCGAGGGGCAUGCCUGUUCGAGCGUCAUUAUAACCCCUCAAGCUCAGCUUGGUGUUGGGGCCUGCUGCACUGGCAGCCCUUAAAAUCAGUGGCGGCGCCAUCUGGCUCUAAGCGUAGUAAUUCUUCUCGCUAUGGAGUCCUGGUGGAUGCUUGCCAUCAACCCCCAAUUUUUCUAUGGUUGACCUCGGAUCAGGUAGGGACACCCGCUGAACUUAAGCAUAUCAAUAAGCGGAGGA
Molecule: unclassified non-coding RNA, 330 nt
Filed under: soil metagenome
Description: partial contains 5.8S ribosomal RNA, internal transcribed spacer 2, and large subunit ribosomal RNA
Rfam family: 5.8S ribosomal RNA (bases 1-121)
Source: RNAcentral